GGGCCUGUGGUCUAGUUGGUUAUGACAUCGCCUUUACACGGCGGGGAUCAGGGGUUCGAAUCCCUUCGGGCCCA
Molecule: transfer RNA, 74 nt
Rfam family: tRNA
About the family: Transfer RNA (tRNA) molecules are approximately 80 nucleotides in length. Their secondary structure includes four short double-helical elements and three loops (D, anti-codon, and T loops).
Source: Rfam